AGGGAUAUAACUCAUCGGUAGAGUGUCACCUUAACGUGAUGGAAGUCAUCAGAUCGAACCUGAUUAUCUCUA
Molecule: transfer RNA, 72 nt
Filed under: Brachypodium distachyon (stiff brome)
Lineage: Eukaryota; Viridiplantae; Streptophyta; Magnoliopsida; Poales; Poaceae
Rfam family: tRNA
About the family: Transfer RNA (tRNA) molecules are approximately 80 nucleotides in length. Their secondary structure includes four short double-helical elements and three loops (D, anti-codon, and T loops).
Source: Rfam by way of RNAcentral